This 254-nucleotide ribosomal RNA is filed under the name uncultured bacterium. RNAcentral's name for it is "partial 16S ribosomal RNA". It matches the Rfam family "Bacterial small subunit ribosomal RNA", at positions 524 to 776 of the family's 1533-position model. The record is from RNAcentral.
UACGUAGGCAGCGAGCGUUGUUCGGAGUUACUGGGCGUAAAGGGCGCGUAGGCGGUCAGCACAAGUCAGUUGUGAAAUCUCCGGGCUUAACUCGGAAAGGUCAACUGAUACUGUGCGACUAGAGUGCGGAAGGGGCAACUGGAAUUCUCGGUGUAGCGGUGAAAUGCGUAGAUAUCGAGAGGAACACCUGCGGCGAAGGCGGGUUGCUGGGCCGACACUGACGCUGAUGCGCGAAAGCCAGGGGAGCGAACGGG